RNAcentral lists this ribosomal RNA (493 nucleotides) under uncultured bacterium. RNAcentral's name for it is "partial 16S ribosomal RNA". It matches the Rfam family "Bacterial small subunit ribosomal RNA", at positions 30 to 523 of the family's 1533-position model. The record is from RNAcentral.
AUUGAACGCUGGCGGCAUGCUUUACACAUGCAAGUCGAACGGUAACAGGUUAAGCUGACGAGUGGCGAACGGGUGAGUAAUGCAUCGGAACGUGCCCGACCGUGGGGGAUAACACUUCGAAAGAAGUGCUAAUACCGCAUACGAUCUGAGGAUGAAAGCGGGGGACCGUAAGGCCUCGCGCGAUCGGAGCGGCCGAUGUCAGAUUAGGUAGUUGGUGGGGUAAAGGCUCACCAAGCCGACGAUCUGUAGCUGGUCUGAGAGGACGACCAGCCACACUGGGACUGAGACACGGCCCAGACUCCUACGGGAGGCAGCAGUGGGGAAUUUUGGACAAUGGGCGCAAGCCUGAUCCAGCAAUGCCGCGUGCAGGAAGAAGGCCUUCGGGUUGUAAACUGCUUUUGUACGGAGCGAAAAGGCUCUCUCUAAUACAGGGGGCUCAUGACGGUACCGUAAGAAUAAGCACCGGCUAACUACGUGCCAGCAGCCGCCGUAA